CCUACGGGAGACUGCAGUGAGGAAUAUUGGUCAAUGGACGAGAGUCUGAACCAGCAAAGUAGCGUGAAGGAUGACUGCCCUAUGGGUUGUAAACUUCUUUUAUAUGGGAAUAAAACGUUCCACGUGUGUGAUUUUGUAUGGACCAUAUGAAUAAGGAUCGGCUAACUCCGUGCCAGCAGCCGAGGUAAUACGGAGGAUCGGAGGUUUAUCCGGUUGUAUUGGGUUUAAAGUGAGCGUAGGUGGAUUGUUAAGUCAGUUGUGAAAGUUUGCGGCUCAACCGUAAAAUUGCAGUUGAAACCGGCAGUCUUGAGUACAGUAGAGGUGGGCGGAAUUCGUGGUGUAGCGGUGAAAUGCUUAGAUAUCACGAAGAACUCCGAUUGCGAAGGCAGUUCACUGGACUGCAACUGACACUGAGGCUCGAAAGUGUGGGUAUCAAACAGGAUUAGAUACCCUUGUAGUC
Molecule: ribosomal RNA, 460 nt
Filed under: uncultured bacterium
Lineage: Bacteria
Description: partial 16S ribosomal RNA
Rfam family: Bacterial small subunit ribosomal RNA
Source: RNAcentral